GGACCCGCACAAGCGGUGGAGUAUGUGGCUUAAUUCGAUGCAACGCGAAGAACCUUACCUAGGCUUGACAUGCUUGUCGUACUCUCCCGAAAAGGAGAGGUCACUUCGGGUGGACAAUGCACAGGUGCUGCAUGGCCGUCGUCAGCUCGUGUCGUGAGAUGUUUGGUUAAGUCCAGCAACGAGCGCAACCCCUGCCGUUAGUUGCCAGCAUGUAAUGAUGGGAACUCUAACGGGACUGCCGGUGCAAACCGCGAGGAAGGUGGGGGAUGACGUCAAAUCAUCACGGCCCUUACGUCCUGGGCUACACACGUGCUACAAUGGCCGGUACAGAGGGCAGCCACACCGCAAGGUGGAG
Molecule: ribosomal RNA, 355 nt
Filed under: uncultured bacterium
Lineage: Bacteria
Description: bacterial SSU rRNA
Rfam family: Bacterial small subunit ribosomal RNA
Source: RNAcentral